AAAGUAUGAUGGACUUACUAGGAGAUGUUCAGUAUAUAUGGACUCCAGUUAUGGUUGUGUUAUUUAUUUAUGCACACCUUACGUUUCAUAAAUUGAUUGAAGGAAUUGUAUGGAGGGUGGCUGCGUGGUGUUCUUCGCGGACAGAAUAAGCUAAGCUGUUCAUUGAGUUGAAGGCAUUGUCUCUGUAACAAAGCUUGCAUCACAUAGUGAUACAUGAGAGAAUGUACAUCGCCAACAUGUAAGGGAGAUGGUUAAGGAAAUAGUACUGACUGUAACUGAAGUUGGAAGACUGGACUACAAUGUUUUCCUUGACGUGAAGACAAUAGAGGGGAUGUAUGAAAUUAGUUCGAGUCUAAUGGAGGCUUUAUCUGUCAUCAAACUCCACUGAAUCGCACGAGAUCUCAACUGCACCCGCCGCUGCGAGAAAUUUGCUGGAAGAGGUCUCCAAGAUAUUGACAAUGAAUAAAUGAUAUGAGAGGAUGCUGCCACGGCAAAUACUGGUCCCUUACCCCUUAUCCAACAUUUUCAAAGCUGUUGGAGAUUAGGUGGUGACGGUGUCUUCAUCUAAAGAUAUGCUGGGCCUACUUUGUGAUCAAAGAGAAGAAAGAUAAAAAGGUAGCACAACACGCACACACCCCAAAAGAUCAAUCUAAUGAUCGAAGCAGACGACACAUUUUAAUUGCUCCAACGAUGUGUCAUCUAGCAUGUUGUGUUCUUCACUUCUUCUAUAGAAACACCAAAGAUUUCUACAUCCAUACAGUUGACAGUUGGUAUUCUCCAUACAAAACGCGAUUGUCGGUUUUGCCAGGUACAGGUAAGAAUGCUCUAGCUCUCUUUGCUUAUUUCGCUUGGUUUCUUCCUGAUAUAAUAUUAUGUUAUUUGACAAGUGUUUUGGUUUCUACCGAAAGAUUCCUACAAUGGUAUGCCAUGAUCAAUUGCUUCUUUACUAAUUUGAUGUUCUUGACAAGAUCAAUUGCUUCUUUACUAAUUUGUUGUUCUUUCCCUGGGACCAUAUAAGUGUCGGAAUUGAUCUGGUCUUCCCUCUAUUCAGUUCUUACAUUCAACUACUUUUACAUGGUGCACAAUCUAAAUUCUCGCAGUGGAUCUACUAUUUA
Molecule: long non-coding RNA, 1115 nt
Organism: Lolium perenne
Lineage: Eukaryota; Viridiplantae; Streptophyta; Magnoliopsida; Poales; Poaceae
Source: RefSeq, a predicted model, not a curated record